RNAcentral lists this ribosomal RNA (460 nucleotides) under uncultured bacterium. Its description in RNAcentral is "partial 16S ribosomal RNA". It matches the Rfam family "Bacterial small subunit ribosomal RNA", at positions 338 to 795 of the family's 1533-position model. The record is from RNAcentral.
CCUACGGGAGGCAGCAGUGAGGAAUAUUGGUCAAUGGGCGCGAGCCUGAACCAGCCAAGUCGCGUGAAGGAUGACUGCCCUACGGGUUGUAAAUUUCUUUUAUCAAGGAAUAAAUUGUGGCACGUGUGCCUUUUUGUAUUUACUUUAUCAACAAGGAUCGGCUAACACCGUGCCAGCAGCCGCGGUAAUACGGAGGAUCCGAGCGUUAUCCGGAUUUAUUGGGUUUAAAGGGAGCGUAGAUGGGUGGUUGAGUCAGUUGUGAAAGUGUGCGGCUCAACCGUGAAAUUGCAAUUGAUACGGGCAGUCUUGAGUACAGUUGAGGUAGGCAGAAUUCGUGGUGUAGCGGUGAAAUGCGUAGAUAUCACGAAGAACUCCGAUUGCGAAGGCAGCUUACUAAACUGCCACUGACAUUGAUGCUCGAAAGUGUGGGUAUCAAACAGGAUUAGAUACCCGGGUAGUC